Molecule: ribosomal RNA, 513 nt
Filed under: uncultured bacterium
Lineage: Bacteria
Description: partial 16S ribosomal RNA
Rfam family: Bacterial small subunit ribosomal RNA
Source: RNAcentral
GACGAACGCUGGCGGCAUGCCUAAUACAUGCAAGUCGAGCGAACAGAUGAAGUGCUUGCACUUCUGACGUUAGCGGCGAACGGAUAAGUAACACGUAAGGAAUCUACCUAUAAGCGGGGGAUAACAUUCGGAAACGGGUGCUAAUACCGCAUAAUAUCUUCUUCCGCAUGGAAGAAGAUUGAAAGUCGGCUCUGCUGUCACUUAUAGAUGACCUUGCGGUGCAUUAGUUAGUUGGUGGGGUAAUGGCCUACCAAGACGAUGAUGCAUAGCCGACCUGAGAGGGUGAUCGGCCACAUUGGGACUGAGACACGGCCCAAACUCCUACGGGAGGCAGCAGUAGGGAAUCUUCCGCAAUGGGCGAAAGCCUGACGGAGCAAUGCCGCGUGAGUGAAGAAGGCCUUCGGGUCGUAAAACUCUGUUAUAAGAGAAGAACAAAUUGUAGAGUAACUGCUACAGUCUUGACGGUAUCUUAUCAGAAAGCCACGGCUAACUACGUGCCAGCCGCCGCCGUAA